AGUUCGAUUAUGGCUCAGAUUGAACGCUGGCGGGAUGCUUUACACAUGCAAGUCGAACGGCAGCACGGACUUCGGUCUGGUGGCGAGUGGCGAACGGGUACAGGUAAUGUAUCCGGAACGUGCCUAGUAGCGGGGGAUAACUACGCGAAAGCGUAGCUAAUACCGCAUACGCCCUUCGGGGGAAAGCGGGGGACCUUCGGGCCUCGCACUAUUAGAGCGGCCGAUAUCGGAUUAGCUAGUUGGUGGGGUAACGGCUCGCAAAGGCGACGAUCCGUAGCUGGUUUGAGAGGACGACCAGCCACACUGGGACUGAGACACGGCCAGACUCCUACGAGGCAGCAGUGGGAAUUUUGGACAAUGGGGAAACCCUGAUCCAGCCAUCCCGCGUGUGCGAUGAAAGCCUUCGGGUUGUAAAGCACUUUUGGCAGGAAAGAAACGGCACGGGAUAAUACCCCGUGCAACUGACGGUACCUGCAGAAUAAGCACCGGCUAACUACGUGCCAGCAGCCGCGGUAAUACGUAGGAGUGCAAGCGUUAAUCGGAAUUACUGGGCGUAAAGCGUGCGCGGGCGGUUCGGAAAGAAGAUGUGAAAUCCCAGAGCUUAACUUUGGAACUACAUUUUUAACUACCGAGCUAGAGUGUGUCAGAGGGAGGUGGAAUUCCGCGUGUAGCAGUGAAAUGCGUAGAUAUGCGGAGGAACACCGAUGGCGAAGGCAGCCUCCUGGGAUAACACUGACGCUCAUGCACGAAAGCGUGGGGAGCAAACAGGAUUAGAUACCCUGGUAGUCCACGCCUAAACGAUGUCAACUAGCUGUUGGGGCCUUCGGGCCUUGGUAGCGCAGCUAACGCGUGAGGUUGACCGCCUGGGGGAGUACGGCCGCAAGAUUAAAACUCGGAAUUGACGGGGACCGCACAAGCGGUGGAUGAUGUGGAUUAAUUCGAUGCAACGCGAAAAACCUUACCUACCCUUGACAUGUCUGGAAUCCCGAAGAGAUUUGAGAGUGCUCGCAAGAGAACCGGAACACAGGUGCUGCAUGGCUGUCGUCAGCUCGUGUCGUGAGAUGUUGGGUUAAGUCCGCAACGAGCGCAACCCUUGUCAUUAGUUGCUACGAGGCACUCUAAUGAGACUGCCGGUGACAAACCGGAGGAAGGUGGGGAUGACGUCAAGUCCUCAUGGCCCUUAUGGGUAGGGCUUCACACGUCAUACAAUGGUCGGGACAGAGGGUCGCCAACUGCGCGAGGGGAGCCAAUCCCAGAAACCCGAUCGUAGUCCGGAUCCCGCAGUCUGCAACUCGACUGCGUGAAGUCGGAAUCGCUAGUAAUCGCGGAUCAGCAUGUCGCGGUGAAUACGUUCCCGGGUCUUGCACACACCGCCCGUCACACCAUGGGAGUGGGUUUUACCAGAAGUAGUUAGCCUAACCGUAAGGAGGGCGAUUACCACGGUAGGAUUCAUGACUGAGGGUGAAGUCGUAACAAGGUAG
This 1481-nucleotide ribosomal RNA is filed under the name uncultured Bordetella sp. RNAcentral describes it as "partial 16S-23S ribosomal RNA intergenic spacer". It matches the Rfam family "Bacterial small subunit ribosomal RNA". Lineage: Bacteria; Pseudomonadati; Pseudomonadota; Betaproteobacteria; Burkholderiales; Alcaligenaceae. The record is from RNAcentral.